GGUCGACGGCGGCGACACACCCGGCGUCCCAAAUAUGAUGGUGAGAUGCCAUAAAUCUUUCUUGUCUUGUUGUGGCAGGAAGUAUUUAAGUACUGCUUUUUGCUAGCUCGCUUCGAUACGAAACCAAAAGUAAGUACAAUGUCCCUAAUGCUAAAUGUGCAAUGCAAUGGCCGGAAAUUGUUCCACAGCGGACGGAUUCCUAUUCCUCAGACCCUGCCGCCAGCUUCCCAACGAAGCCAAAGGAAUCUCUUCUCUUUCGAGUCGUGUGACCAAGACGUCCGAGCAGCGGAGGCGAGACCUGAUGCUGGGGUUCCACAGCGAGGCGUCCACCGCGGGCAACAUAAUGGGCCGCAUGUCAUGCAUAUAUAUAGAAUUUGUUUUUGUUUUUUAUUUAAUAUUCAAAUUUUGAUUUUGAUUUCAAUUAAAUUUAUUUAUUUAUUUUAUUCUUUCUAGAAUACUAUUUAUUUAUUUUAUGGAAUGUAUUAGAUCCGAGUCAUGAAUAUCAUGGAUAUAGAGAACCAAGUAUGACUUGGGUGCUCGGCUAGCCAGGUGUGCUAGUAGCUCACCAAAGUUCGAUCCUCGAAGGUAGCACUUUGGUGUCUCACUUUGUAAAUAUAUAUAUGUACUAGUAUAGUGCCCGUGCGUUGUCACGGACUCUUAAACACAAACGCCUUACACUAACAAAGAGAUCAUAAAAAAUUCUUGCUACUUCAGCUAAUUAGCAAAGAAGAGAAAGAGUACCGAUCCGGAGGCUUGAGGGGGCCACCGGAGGUGCGGGAGGCAGUGCACAACUGAUUUGGCGGCGCGCGUGCGGAUUUGAGGUCGGGCUCAGCAUCUUGCGCGCAUCAGGGACGGACGAAGCGAUUUUUUCUUUCGGACUUGUGGUUCGGUGGGCUGAACAGGUCCCCCCAAUUGGGCUGCACCUAGGUCGAAGCCCAAAUCGCGCGACGGACGACGACUGUCGAAAGAAACACUAUUCCCUUUAUUGGGAGCGGAUUUGGCGGCGCGUGCGGAUUUGAGGUCGGGUUCACAAUCUCGCG
Molecule: long non-coding RNA, 1040 nt
Filed under: Brachypodium distachyon (stiff brome)
Lineage: Eukaryota; Viridiplantae; Streptophyta; Magnoliopsida; Poales; Poaceae
Description: long non-coding RNA (BDIS_LNC004457)
Source: RNAcentral